UUGUGAAUAUAAGGGUUUGUUUUUCCCUUUUUCAUUAUUAUUUUUAAUUUCUGUUUUUGGUAAAGGUAUAAUCGCAUUGGAUUUUGAAUUUUUUUUUACUAACAUGUGAAUGUGGUAUGUGUACCAUUACUCAUAAAUAAUAUGUUUUGUUAAUGCGAUAAGGUUAUUAUCAAAUAUAAUCACA
Malus domestica (apple) is the source of this 184-nucleotide non-coding RNA. Lineage: Eukaryota; Viridiplantae; Streptophyta; Magnoliopsida; Rosales; Rosaceae. The record is from RefSeq and is a predicted model, not a curated record.